This 2182-nucleotide long non-coding RNA is filed under the name Sus scrofa (pig). RNAcentral's name for it is "lncRNA (ENSSSCG00015031816.1)". The record is from RNAcentral. Lineage: Eukaryota; Metazoa; Chordata; Mammalia; Artiodactyla; Suidae.
UUUUUUUUUUUUUUUUCAUUUUUGGCCACCUCAAGGCAUAUGGAAUUCGCAGGCCAGGGAUCAGAUCUGAGCCACGGCUGCAACCCAAGCUGCAGCUGUGGCAGUGCCAGAUCCUUAACCCACCAUGCCGGGCUGGGGAUCAAACUUGCAUCCCAGCGCUCCCAAGACCCCGCUGAUCUCAUUGCACCACAGCGGGAACUCCUGUGGAUAAUUCUUAAGAUGUUUUGCAUUCUUUUUUGCCUACUAAGUCUCUGAAAUCUGAUGUGUAUUUUGCAUUCCCAGCACAUCUCAGCUCCGCCCAGGCACAGUUCCGGUGUUCAACGGGCAAAGGUGGCACGUGGCCAGGGUUGGACAUCUCAGUCCUGGCUCCAUGGCUUUAACCAAGUCCCUUACCCUCUGAGGUCAGGACCCAGUCCGCUAGUCUGUCUGAGACAGCAUGCAAUAACAACAACAACAAAGUCUGGUGAAUGAAGAAAGGAAGGAAGAAAUGCCACUCUGUCUUAAUCUGCACUUUUGAGGAGGGGAUUACCAAUCACAGAUUUGUCCCGAGAAAAAAAUCAUGCCUUGUGGAGUUCAAGGUCAAGCUGUAGAAGUGAGAAACCCCAGGCAAGAAACUUAACCCCAAUAAACUUCAGGUUGUGCAUCGGUAAACUGGGGGCGAUGGUGGCAUCCAAGAUACGCCACGUCGCAUGCUUGGCACACAGUGACCAUUCGCCGGUUGUAGUGACAACGGAGCAAACAAUAGUGACAACAUCAUGGGGAUACGGAUGUUCCUGCUGUAAUCACACGGUGCUAAUGGGGAGGGGAGGAAGAAGCAAGAGGAAGGGAGGGAGGGAGGAAGGAAAGGAGGAAGGAAGGAGAGAGAGAGGGAAGGUCUGUGUAGGGGUGGAGGGUGUGUCUCAUGAAAACCUUCAACUUUCAAGAGGAUGGACAUACGACUCAAGGUGGAAAAGUGUUCACCAGCACCUCCCCCCCAAAAAAAUGGGGGAGGACAAAUGUCCAGCAGAGGAAGAGAAGUGGAGGUUCUAGGAAAGGAAAGUCAGAAUAAUAGCAGUGCACCAGCGGAGCCCAGGAAUCCCCAUCCGCCCUCCCGGGGACCAGCUGGUGCCCUUUUACGCAGGGUCCUCAGUCAACAUCUGCCGAUGGCUCCUCCGUGCCUCGCGCCCACAAAGCAUCCUUCCUCUCCACGUAAAUCACACGUUAACCAUCAGGGCGGGCCAGUGCCUGCGUUCAUCAGAAAGGGAAAACUAGGUCUUUUUUUUUCCCACUCUUGCUCUGAUUUAUACACAACCAUUUAGGGUGUCAGUCUGCGUGAAAGCAGAAUUUGUGUUCCUGCAAUGACACCAUAAAUCCUCCUGGCCUCCCCUCCACUCGCUGGGAAGCCUGAAUGUUCGGCUUCCACUGACAGCAGAUGAUGGCUCUGAAGAAGGGCACGGAAUUCACAAGCAGGUAACAACGGGGCUGGCGGGGAGGCGUGCGCCCCCGGGUGGGGGCUGCCUGGAGAGGGCCUGGGUGAAACCAGAAUGCUCCAACACCUGAUUCUUUUUUCUUUUCUUUCCUUUCCUUUUUUUUUUUUGUCUUUCUUUCUUUUCAGGGCCGCACCCGUGGCAUAUGGAGGUGCAGCCCUAAAAGGACAAAAACAAACAAAAAAAGAUGUGGAACAUAUACAUAAUGGAAUACUACUCAGCCAUAAAAAAAGAAUGAAAUAAUGCCAUUUGCAGCAACAUGGAUGCAAUUAGAGAUUCUCACACUACACGAAGUAAGUCAGAAAGAGAAAGAGAGGGAGUUCCCAUUGUGGCUCAGUGGUUAAUGAACCAGACUAGGAUCCCCAAGGACACAGGUUCAAUCCCUGGCCUCAAUCAGUGGGUUAAGGAUCUGGCGUUAGCACAAGCUGUGGUGUAGAUCAAAAACACAGCUCAGAUCCAAGUUGCUGUGGCUGUGGUGUAGGCUGGCAGCUACAGCUCCAAUUUGAUCCCUAGCCUGAGAACCUCCAUAUGCUGCCGGUGCAGCCCUAAAAAGACCAAAAAAAAACCAAAAACAAAAACACUAAAAUAUGGUACAAAUGCAUCUAGCUACAGUACAGAAGCAGACUUACAGACAUGGACAACAGACUUGUGGUUGCUAAGGGAGUGGGCAGGGAGUGGGAUGGACUGGGAGUUUGGGGUUAGUGGAUGCAAACUAU